Molecule: non-coding RNA, 812 nt
Organism: Oryctolagus cuniculus (rabbit)
Lineage: Eukaryota; Metazoa; Chordata; Mammalia; Lagomorpha; Leporidae
Source: RefSeq, a predicted model, not a curated record
UGCUGAGCGCAAAGGUUACGGGGACACGGCGCCCGCAGUUCCCCGUCAGUAGCUGUGUAUUGGGUGGUCUCUCAAGGUUACGGGGGCACGGCGCCCGCAGUUCCCCGUCAGUAGCUGUGUAUUGGGUGGUCUCUCAAGGUUACGGGGGCACGGCGCCCGCAGUUCCCCGUCAGUAGCUGUGUAUUGGGUGGUCUCUCAAGGUUACGGGGGCACGGCGCCCGCAGUUCCCCGUCAGUAGCUGUGUAUUGGGUGGUCUCUCAAGGUUACAGGGGCACGGCACCCACAGUUCCCCGUCAGUAGCUGUUUAUUGGGUGGUCUCUCAAAACUGGGAUUGUAUUUCGUGUUGCAAAUUGCUUUCCAAUUGGGUCUUUAGUUAAUAGAAGGAAAAGACGUAUCUCUUUGGGUAAAGCCAAGAUUGUGAAGAUUAUACUUACACUGAGAGGCUGAUUUGAAUAUUAUUUAUUUACAAGUGUUUAGGAAACAUAAAAGGAAGGAAAUGUGAUUUUUCAAUGAUUUUUAGAAUUGUGCAGAUGUCACGACUAUCUAAUUUUAGAAUUUUUCCUACACCCCCAAAAAGAACCCUGUGCCUGUUUGCAGUCCCUCUCAUUCCACCUGUUAGCACCUGUGCCCCACGUCCAGUCCUCUGGUCCCCCUGUUAGCACCUGUGCCCCCACGUCCUGUCCUCUCAUUCCCCCUGUUAGCACCUGUGCCCCCGUGUCCUGACCUCUGGUCCCCCUGUUAGCACCUGUGCCCCCACGUCCUGUCCUCUGGUCCCCCCUGUUAGCACCUGUGCCCCCACGUCCAGUCCUCUG